UCUUACCAUCCUGCUAUUCAAUAAAAGACUAGUUUUUUACCAAAAAAUAAAAAAUAAAGACUUGUUUGUCUUUCCAUCAUAUGAUCUCUUAUGCUUAUAUUUUAGGUGUUUGAACUCAUUAUAGAAUCUGUGUCACAUUGCGAGAUAUAUGUAUUGGAUUUUCUACAUAUACUAGUGUAUAUGGAUUUUAAAAUUUUUCUAAAUCCCAAAUGCAGGAAAAAAUCAGAUUAAAAUA
Molecule: long non-coding RNA, 235 nt
Filed under: Elaeis guineensis (African oil palm)
Lineage: Eukaryota; Viridiplantae; Streptophyta; Magnoliopsida; Arecales; Arecaceae
Description: long non-coding RNA (EGUI_LNC016617)
Source: RNAcentral